ACUCUCUUGGUGGGACAAUCUCUCGUAUCGAGCGGGGCGAAUAAAAUCGUGAGCAGACUAUCCGAUGUCGAGGCCUCGAACGGGCCGUACUCGUACGUGAUGGAGAAGAGUCAGCUGUCUUUGUACUACAAGCCUGCGAAUGUCAAAACUCCCAUACUCUAUGACCAAACUGUGUUCGGCACUGGCAAAGACACAUUGACGAAAAUCCAGUUUACAAUCGACCCGUUCACGAAUAUAGAGAGCGACACCGUUUGGGCUAAUGAGUUCCACCUCGAGUCCUUCAUGAACAACUCGACCGAAUCCAGUGGCUCGGC
Molecule: long non-coding RNA, 314 nt
Filed under: Daucus carota (carrot)
Lineage: Eukaryota; Viridiplantae; Streptophyta; Magnoliopsida; Apiales; Apiaceae
Description: long non-coding RNA (DCAR_LNC005670)
Source: RNAcentral